This 463-nucleotide ribosomal RNA is filed under the name uncultured bacterium. RNAcentral's name for it is "partial 16S ribosomal RNA". It matches the Rfam family "Bacterial small subunit ribosomal RNA", at positions 339 to 795 of the family's 1533-position model. The record is from RNAcentral.
CUACGGGAGGCUCCAGUGGGGAAUAUUGCACAAUGGGCGCAAGCCUGAUGCAGCCAUGCCGCGUGUAUGAAGAGGGCCUUCGGGUUGUAAAGUACUUUCAGCGGGGAGGAAGGGAGUAAAGUUAAUACCUUUGCUCAUUGACGUUACCCGCAGAAGAAGCACCGGCUAACUCCGUGCCAGCAGCCGCGGUAAUACGGAGGGUGCAAGCGUUAAUCGGAAUUACUGGGCGUAAAGCGCACGCAGGCGGUUUGUUAAGUCAGAUGUGAAAUCCCCGGGCUCAACCUGGGAACUGCAUCUGGACUGGCAAGCUUGAGUCUCGUAGAGGGGGGUAGAAUUCCAGGUGUAGCGGUGAAAUGCGUAGAGAUCUGGAGGAAUACCGGUGGCGAAGGCGGCCCCCUGGACGAAGACUGACGCUCAGGUGCGAAAGCGUGGGGAGCAAACAGGAUUAGAUACCCUUGUAGUC